AGUGAACGCUGGCGGCGUGCUUAACACAUGCAAGUCGAACGAGAACGGGUUAUAGCUUGCUAUAAUUGUCAGCUAAGUGGCGCACGGGUGAGUAAUGUAUAGGUAAUAUGCCUCUUACUAAGGGAUAACAAAUGGAAACGUUUGCUAAUACCUUAUACUCCUUAUUAACAUAAGUUAAUAAGGGAAAGAUUUAUUGGUAAGAGAUUAGCCUGUAUUGUAUCAGUUAGUUGGUGGGGUAAUGGCUUACCAAGACUAUGACACAUAACUGGUUUGAGAGGAUGAUCAGUCACACUGGAACUGAGACACGGUCCAGACUCCUACGGGAGGCAGCAGUGGGGAAUAUUGCACAAUGGACGAAAGUCUGAUGCAGCAACGCCGCGUGGAGGAUGACACAUUUCGGUGCGUAAACUCCUUUUAUAUGUGAAGAUAAUGACGGUAUUAUAUGAAUAAGCACCGGCUAACUCCGUGCCAGCAGCCGCGGUAA
This 484-nucleotide ribosomal RNA is filed under the name uncultured bacterium. RNAcentral describes it as "partial 16S ribosomal RNA". It matches the Rfam family "Bacterial small subunit ribosomal RNA", at positions 29 to 523 of the family's 1533-position model. The record is from RNAcentral.